This is a long non-coding RNA of Antechinus flavipes (yellow-footed antechinus), 1186 nucleotides long. RefSeq lists it as uncharacterized. The transcript has 2 exons. The record is from RefSeq and is a predicted model, not a curated record. Lineage: Eukaryota; Metazoa; Chordata; Mammalia; Dasyuromorphia; Dasyuridae.
ACCUUGGGGUACUGUCCCUAAUAUCCUAAGGUGGAAAAGGGAAUGGCAAGAGAGGAAGCAAGCCCCAGUGGUAGCAACUGCCGCCUCGACACCUGUUUCUCCGCUUCCCGGGGGAAACAAGAUUCGUGAUUAGCUCGGCUCCUACUUUGGGGAAUGGGACAGGAAAAAUGUUGGCACUUGCCGACGCCAUUCUAGGAAGAGCGUAGUCACCGGGCCUGUGGCCUCUCAUGCCGGAGCGCUCUAGCAUUGGCUUUACUUGGUCAAAUAGGCCCUGAGAAUCCCGACUGGGGGUCUCAAGGUUUAGGCCGUGAUUUCCAAUACCUCUGCAUCCCCUUCUUCCCUCCCUCUUUUUUCAUGCCCUGAUUUCUUUCCUAAUAAACUUCUCAGUGCUUCAGGACUGAAAGACUGCACAGGCCUCGGGAUUUUAGGAGCCAAAGAUGUACGCUCCUACAUCAGAAUGGCAAGGUGGCGCUUUGGGGGCUGGCUGCCCGGUGGACGGGCCCGUCCAACUCUGACCUUGGCUAUGAAUGGGAGGGGGCCGAAGAGUUGGGGAAAAGUUAACCCUUUCCCCUGGUUUUGGCUUCGCUGCUCCCCACCCCCAUCCUCGUCCGGACAUCCCCAGAUCCUGCUCUGCCGGAAAUACCGGUUCCUUGCUCCGGGACAAUAGGUGUGGGGUAGGAUUGAACUCUGCACACGGUGUUUAGUCACAGUCACCGGAGCCACAAUCUAAAAGCAUUACCUCCCAGCCAGGUGUUUCUUCUUUUUUGCCCACGGACCUGAAAGCCAGAACAAGUGGUGGUCUACAGCCUAAAGCCAUCCACCACAUCUCCUGACAUGCUAAUAAUUGCUUCACUCUUGUCCCUGACACACUGAUUCUCUAUCCCUCCUGAAUAAUUACAAGUCUCAACAACCCUUAAGACGAUCAACUUGGAAACAGUUUCCACAGGACAAAGGAAUGUCUGCUUUGCUCAUGCUUGUACCUGCUCUGAGAAAGACUACUCAAGACCUAAGAAUGAUUGUGUUAUGGUCCAGUCCUUAUUUAUAUAUAAAACACUGCCUUUAUCCCAGAAUGUUAAGUCCAUCUUCAGGGUGCAGAGACGGGAAGAACAAGGAACAAAGAGGAAGUUCAGCUUGCAAGUGUUUUCCUCACUUUGAAAUUAAUUAAAUCGAUACUUGAUUCCUGACA